RNAcentral lists this long non-coding RNA (364 nucleotides) under Lathyrus oleraceus (garden pea). RNAcentral describes it as "Pisum sativum (pea) long non-coding RNA (PSAT_LNC002084)". Lineage: Eukaryota; Viridiplantae; Streptophyta; Magnoliopsida; Fabales; Fabaceae. The record is from RNAcentral.
AAAUGUAGGGAACAAUCCUUUGCCUAAACAUGAUAGUUCAAGUGUCAAUGCUAUAGAAAGUUCAACUGAUGAUGGAUUGAUAAAGGAUGUGUUCAAGUUGAAGACUCUUUUAACAGUGGUACAUGCUAGAUUGAUGGAAGCAGAAUUGAUGAAUGGAGUACAUGAUAGUUGUGUGGUGUGUUCGUCCAACCCUGAUCAGUGUGGUGAAUUCAAAAUUUAUCUUCAACGUUUGAUGGAUCAGCGGGUUAAAUGGAGUACAUGAUAGUUGUGUGGUGUGUUCGUCCAACCCUGAUCAGUGUGGUGAAUUCAAAAUUUAUCUUCAACGUUUGAUGGAUCAGCGGGUUAUUCAGUUCACUAGAGCAAA